This is a long non-coding RNA of Bos taurus (domestic cattle), 2182 nucleotides long. NCBI's taxonomy places the organism in Eukaryota, Metazoa, Chordata, Mammalia, Artiodactyla, Bovidae. The record is from Ensembl.
GAAGUUCAAAGAGGAUUUUUGCUUUUACAAAAAAGGGUGAAAGCAAAUAUAGUGUUCAGUGUUUAUUUUGCAGGGAACAGUGAGCCCAACACGUGAAGCCCCUGCACCAGGAGCUACUCAGCGUCUCAAGCCACCAUAGCUUGGAACCAUGUGAGCAUCUGUGCUUUACUUGAUUUGUGUCUCUGUUAGCAAGAUGUGUCCUCAGAUAAUUGUUUCUUCACUUUAUGCCAUUUCAGCUCAGGAAAGUUUCAUAGAAACGCUCUCACCUUCAGUAGUGGAGGAAACCCGUAUUAAGUGGAAGGGUAAGAAGUCUUCUGUUUAAGAUGAGGAAAUACUUUUCACUUAAACAAUACUGACAUGAGUUUCCUCUUGAAACAGAGGUGUACAUUAACUGCUUAUUGAAAGCUUGACACAUUUCUCGGUUCCUGAUUAUAGAUAUUCCUUGAUUAAAAAUAAAUACACUGUAUCUUUAUAACAUCAGCUGUCUUUUGUUAUGAAAAAUUAUGUUUAUUACAGAAAAAUGGAGGAAUAGAGUAAAUUUAUAAAGAAGAAAAAGCACUUACUCCAUAGGUAAUCAGCCACUUAAAUUUAAGGAUGUUGUUUUUUUCCCUCCCAGUGAAAUUGGGAUCAUUUUCACGAUUGACAUUGUAACUUUUUCUUAACUCUGAGGUCACUGAGGACUGCCAUCGUUCAGAUGGAUUCUGCUAGGGGAGAAAAAAGUUCCAGGAAAAAUAUACAAAUAUUCCAAAAUUUUCCCACAUCUGUAUUUUCAUAUUCUUUAUAUAGUUUCUUUUCUUGACACUUGAGCCCCCUGCCCCCCACAUACACACACAGCCUACCAAGCCAUGACUUGACAGUUUUGGUUGAAUACAAUUCCAGUUUCAAAACAAAACACCUCUGAAGAAAUGGACACAGCCAAAUAAAGAAUCAAGAUAGUCUAGAUGAGAGUCUUCAAACUUCAGAAUCAUCUGACAAGCUGCUAAAAUGCAGAUUUUUGCACCCUACCCCAAGCAUGCCUAUUUAACAAUAGAGCACUGGCCCCAAGAAUAAAACGUCUAGGAAUACUAUUCCCCAGCACAGGUCAGGUGCCCAUUACUGGGCUUGUUGACUAUGGCAGGUGAUUGAGGUUAAGUAAAAAACAUGUAUCUCUUGUGAGAAACCAUAUGGAUAGAAUGAGGGAAGACCAUUUUCCCUAAAAGUGGUGCUGUCUCCAAUAGGUAGGCCUUGUCUUUAGUAAACAAAACAAUAGUUACACCCCCAAAAUGUCUCAUUGUGUACCAUAUAGAAUGGUUGUUUCAUGUCAGUGGUCAUGUUUCCUCAACUACAUUUGUGGUGAGAGGGCAGGUUCUGAUAGUAUUGGAUCCCCUGGGUCAUGUUCAUGCAGCCCAGUAUCAUUCCUGACCUUGAAUUCCACGAAACACCUCGUAUCCUUAUUAUAAAUUCCCCUUAAUACACAGAUUGAUUUAAGCUAAGGUUCUGUCAUCUGCCACCUGAAGGAAGAGUUAAUGUGUUUUUUAAAUUGGCACAUAAAAUAUGUACAGAAAAGCGUACAAAACAAAUGUUCAGCUGAGUGAAUUACUAAGUUACUAUAUGUAUAACCACCAUGCAGGCAAGAGUUAGACUCUUAAGAGCACCCAAAAAGCUCUCCUAAUGCCAUCUGCCAAUUACUACUUCCUUCCUCUUCAAAGAUAACAGGUAUCCUGACUUCCAACAUUAUUAUUUAAGUUUUGCCUAUUUUUGAACUUUAUCUAAAUGUGACCAGAGAAGCUGAAGCUCCAGUACUUUGGCCACCUGAUGCAAAGAGCCGACUCAUUGGAAAAGACCCUGAUGCUGGGUAAGAUUGAGGGCAGUAGAAGAAGGGGGCAACAGAGGAUGAGAUGGUUGGAUGGCAUCACUGACUCAAUGGACAUGAGUUUGAACAAACUCUGAGAAAUAGUGAAGGACAGGGAAGCCUGGUGUGCUGUAGUCCAUGGAGUCACAAAGCCUCAGACACAAUUUAGCGACUGAACAACAAACCAUACUCUGUAAUUUUUUCUGCCUGUCAUUUUGAUUAAAGGCUAAAAAUAGUAUUUCUCUGACUCAAGGACUAAACAGCAAAGCUAAUGUGAAAUUCACCCAUGUUGAUAUUACUGUAGGUCAUUGUAAUUGUCAUAUGCCAUUGUAUAUAUCACAAUUUGUCCAU